Molecule: ribosomal RNA, 395 nt
Filed under: Escherichia coli
Lineage: Bacteria; Pseudomonadati; Pseudomonadota; Gammaproteobacteria; Enterobacterales; Enterobacteriaceae
Also listed under: 1 other name
Description: partial 23S ribosomal RNA
Rfam family: Bacterial large subunit ribosomal RNA
Source: RNAcentral
UGCGGACAGUGUCUGGUGGGUAGUUUGACUGGGGCGGUCUCCUCCUAAAGAGUAACGGAGGAGCACGAAGGUUGGCUAAUCCUGGUCGGACAUCAGGAGGUUAGUGCAAUGGCAUAAGCCAGCUUGACUGCGAGCGUGACGGCGCGAGCAGGUGCGAAAGCAGGUCAUAGUGAUCCGGUGGUUCUGAAUGGAAGGGCCAUCGCUCAACGGAUAAAAGGUACUCCGGGGAUAACAGGCUGAUACCGCCCAAGAGUUCAUAUCGACGGCGGUGUUUGGCACCUCGAUGUCGGCUCAUCACAUCCUGGGGCUGAAGUAGGUCCCAAGGGUAUGGCUGUUCGCCAUUUAAAGUGGUACGCGAGCUGGGUUUAGAACGUCGUGAGACAGUUCGGUCCCUA